GACGAACGCUGGCGGCGUGCUUAACACAUGCAAGUCGAACGGAAAGGCCCUGCUUUUGUGGGGUGCUCGAGUGGCGAACGGGUGAGUAACACGUGAGUAACCUGCCCUUGACUUUGGGAUAACUUCAGGAAACUGGGGCUAAUACCGGAUAGGAGCUCCUGCUGCAUGGUGGGGGUUGGAAAGUUUCGGCGGUUGGGGAUGGACUCGCGGCUUAUCAGCUUGUUGGUGGGGUAGUGGCUUACCAAGGCUUUGACGGGUAGCCGGCCUGAGAGGGUGACCGGCCACAUUGCGACUGCGAUACGGCCCAGACUCCUACGGGAGGCAGCAGUGGGGAAUAUUGCACAAUGGGCGGAAGCCUGAUGCAGCAACGCCGCGUGCGGGAUGCCGGCCUUCGGGUUGUAAACCGCUUUCGCCUGUGACGAAGCGUGAGUGACGGUAAUGGGUAAAGAAGCACCGGCUAACUACGUG
This 468-nucleotide ribosomal RNA is filed under the name uncultured bacterium. RNAcentral's name for it is "partial 16S ribosomal RNA". It matches the Rfam family "Bacterial small subunit ribosomal RNA", at positions 28 to 507 of the family's 1533-position model. The record is from RNAcentral.